CCUACGGGUGGCAGCAGUAGGGAAUAUUGCGCAAUGGGGGAAACCCUGAAGCAGCAACGCCGCGUGGAGGAUGAAGGUUUUCGGAUUGUAAACUCCUUUUGUUAGAGAAGAUAAUGACGGUAUCUAACGAAUAAGCACCGGCUAACUCCGUGCCAGCAGCCGCGGUAAUACGGAGGGUGCAAGCGUUAGUCGGAAUCACUGGGCGGAAAGAGCGCGUAGGCGGGAUAGCAAGUCAGAUGUGAAAUCCUAUGGCUUAACCAUAGAACUGCAUUUGAAACUGUUAUUCUAGAGUAUGGGAGAGGUAGGUGGAAUUCUUGGUGUAGGGGUAAAAUCCGUAGAGAUCAAGAGGAAUACUCAUUGCGAAGGCGACCUGCUAGAACAUAACUGACGCUGAUGCGCGAAAGCGUGGGGAGCAAACAGGAUUAGAUACCCCAGUAGUC
RNAcentral lists this ribosomal RNA (440 nucleotides) under uncultured bacterium. Its description in RNAcentral is "partial 16S ribosomal RNA". It matches the Rfam family "Bacterial small subunit ribosomal RNA", at positions 338 to 795 of the family's 1533-position model. The record is from RNAcentral.